UGAGCGAGUCGGGUGAUCGCGUCGAGAAAUCGACGAGGAAAGUCCGGGCUCCACAGGGCAGGAUGGUUGCCAGCGGCAACCGGUCCAUUAUUUGGGCCAGGGAAAGUGCCACAGAAAAGAAAACCCUUGAUUUCAUAAGGGAAGAGUGCGAGGUAUGUAUUAUUAGCCUGACGCUUGGAACUCAGUGAGUCAAGGAAAGCUGAAACGGUGGUGUAAGAGACCACCAGCUCCGUCGUGAGGCGGAGGCUUGGUAAACCCCAUCCGGAGCAAGGCCGAAUAGGGGAGGGCUGAAGCUGCCCGCUGACCUCCCGGGUGUCGCCGCUUGAGGCGCAUGGCAACAUGCGUCCUAGAUAGAUGAUCACCCAUACUGCAUUUGCAGUAGGACAGAACCCGGCUUAUAGACUCGCUCAUUUA
RNAcentral lists this RNase P RNA (414 nucleotides) under Armatimonadota bacterium. RNAcentral's name for it is "Armatimonadetes bacterium (anaerobic digester metagenome) RNase P RNA component class A". It matches the Rfam family "Bacterial RNase P class A". Rfam says of the family: Ribonuclease P (RNase P) is a ubiquitous endoribonuclease, found in archaea, bacteria and eukarya as well as chloroplasts and mitochondria. Its best characterised activity is the generation of mature 5'-ends of tRNAs by cleaving the 5'-leader elements of precursor-tRNAs. Cellular RNase Ps are ribonucleoproteins. The record is from RNAcentral. Lineage: Bacteria; Bacillati; Armatimonadota.